This 424-nucleotide ribosomal RNA is filed under the name uncultured bacterium. RNAcentral describes it as "bacterial SSU rRNA". It matches the Rfam family "Bacterial small subunit ribosomal RNA", at positions 355 to 776 of the family's 1533-position model. The record is from RNAcentral.
UAGGGAAUAUUGGGCAAUGGACGCAAGUCUGACCCAGCCAUGCCGCGUGAAGGACGAAGGCCCUAUGGGUUGUAAACUUCUUUUGUACGGGAAGAAACCCCUCUACGUGUAGGGGGCUGACGGUACCGUAAGAAUAAGGAUCGGCUAACUCCGUGCCAGCAGCCGCGGUAAUACGGAGGAUCCAAGCGUUGUCCGGAUUUAUUGGGUUUAAAGGGUGCGUAGGCGGAUUACUAAGUCAGAGGUGAAAGUUUGCAGCUUAACUGUAAAAUUGCCUUUGAAACUGGUAGUCUUGAGUAUAGUUGAGGUGGGCGGAAUGUGUCAUGUAGCGGUGAAAUGCUUAGAUAUGAUACAGAACACCGAUUGCGAAGGCAGCUCACUAAACUGUAACUGACGCUGAGGCACGAAAGCGUGGGGAGCAAACAGG